Molecule: ribosomal RNA, 179 nt
Filed under: uncultured bacterium
Lineage: Bacteria
Description: partial 16S ribosomal RNA
Rfam family: Bacterial small subunit ribosomal RNA
Source: RNAcentral
ACUCCUACGGGAGGCAGCAGUGGGGAAUAUUGCACAAUGGGCGCAAGCCUGAUGCAGCGACGCCGCGUGAGGGAUGACGGCCUUCGGGUUGUAAACCUCUUUCACCAGGGACGAAGCGCAAGUGACGGUACCUGGAGAAGAAGCACCGGCCAACUACGUGCCAGCAGCCGCGGUAAUAC